AACGCACCUUGCGCCCCUUGGCUAUUCCGAGGGGCAUGCCUGUUUGAGUAUCAUGAACAUCUCAACUCUCAUGCUUUGCCAUGAUGAGCUUGGACUUUGGGGGGUUUUGCUGGCCUAUUGUCAGCUCCUCUGAAACAGAUCAGCUUGCCAGUAUUUGGUGGCGUCACAGGUGUGAUAACUAUCUACGCUUGCGAUCGUUUGCCAAGUAACCUUCGGUGAUGAAGGUUUGCUGGAGCUUACAAACGUCUCUCCUCAGCGAAGACAGCUUUGACCGUUCGAUCUCAAAUCAGGUAGGACUACCCGCUGAACUUAA
RNAcentral lists this unclassified non-coding RNA (313 nucleotides) under uncultured Tomentella. Its description in RNAcentral is "sequence contains ITS2". Lineage: Eukaryota; Fungi; Basidiomycota; Agaricomycetes; Thelephorales; Thelephoraceae. The record is from RNAcentral.